UGUGACGGCCAUACCACCCUGAAGGAGCCCGAUUCUGUCUGAUCUCGGAAGCUAAGCAGGGUCAGACAUGGUUAGUACUUGGAUGGGAGGGGCAUUUAUUUUAACAG
Molecule: non-coding RNA, 107 nt
Organism: Myotis davidii
Lineage: Eukaryota; Metazoa; Chordata; Mammalia; Chiroptera; Vespertilionidae
Source: Rfam